This 520-nucleotide ribosomal RNA is filed under the name uncultured Glomeromycotina. Its description in RNAcentral is "SSU rRNA". It matches the Rfam family "Eukaryotic small subunit ribosomal RNA", at positions 569 to 1091 of the family's 1831-position model. Lineage: Eukaryota; Fungi; Glomeromycota. The record is from RNAcentral.
AGCAGCCGCGGUAAUUCCAGCUCCAAUAGCGUAUAUUAAAGUUGUUGCAGUUAAAAAGCUCGUAGUUGAAUUUCGGGGUUAGUAGAUUGGUCAUGCCUCCGGUAUGCACUGGUCUUACUGAUUCCUCCUUCCUGAUGAACCGUAAUGCCAUUAAUUUGGUGUUGCGGGGAAACUGGACUGUUACUUUGAAAAAUUAGAGUGUUUAAAGCGGGCUAACGCUUGAAUACAUUAGCAUGGAAUAAUGAAAUAGGACGUUCGAUCUUAUUUUGUUGGUUUCUAGGAUUGACGUAAUGAUUAAUAGGGAUAGUUGGGGGCAUUAGUAUUCAAUUGUCAGAGGUGAAAUUCUUGGAUUUAUUGAAGACUAACUACUGCGAAAGCAUUUGCCAAGGAUGUUUUCAUUAAUCAAGAACGAAAGUUAGGGGAUCGAAGACGAUCAGAUACCGUCGUAGUCUUAACCAUAAACUAUGCCGACUAGGGAUCGGAUGAUGUUAAUUUUUUAAUGACUCAUUCGGCGCCUUAC